GAUGAACGCUGGCGGCGUGCCUAAUACAUGCAAGUCGAGCGAACAGACGAGGAGCUUGCUCCUCUGACGUUAGCGGCGGACGGGUGAGUAACACGUGGUUAACCUACCUAUAAGACUGGUAUAACUUCGGGAAACCGGAGCUAAUACCGGAUAAUAUAUUGAACCGCAUGGUUCAAUAGUGAAAGACGGUUUUGCUGUCACUUAUAGAUGGAUCCGCGCCGCAUUAGCUGGUUGGUAAGGUAACGGCUUACCAAGGCAACGAUGCGUAGCCGACCUGAGGGGGUGGUCGGCGGCACUGGAACUGGGCCACGGUCCAGACUACUAAGGGAGGCAGCAGUAGGGAAUGUGCCGCAGUGGGCGAAAGCCUGACGGAGCAACGCGACGUGAGUGAUGACGGCCUUCGGAUCGUAAAACUCUGUUAUUAGGGGAGAACAAAUGUGUAAGUAACUAUGCACGUCUUGACGGUACCUGAUCAGAAAGCCACGGCUAACUACGUG
This 497-nucleotide ribosomal RNA is filed under the name uncultured bacterium. Its description in RNAcentral is "partial 16S ribosomal RNA". It matches the Rfam family "Bacterial small subunit ribosomal RNA", at positions 28 to 507 of the family's 1533-position model. The record is from RNAcentral.